UUUUUCUCUUUCUCGUUAACAUUAGAAGAUGAUCUUUUGGAAUACUCACCUUGUUUAUGACUUUUUCGGGAUCCAGCAUGUUCAUUUUCAGAACCAGCAACAUUUUCUCCUUCAUUAAAUACGCUAGGUCCAGUGACAUUUUCAGCUCCAGUAAAUGAAGUAGGUUCGGUGAAAUCUUCAGCUGUAGCAAAUCCACGCUAGGUCCAGUGACAUUUUCAGCUCCAGUAAAUGAACUAGGUUCGGUGAAAUCUUCAGUUGUAGCAAAUCCACCUUGUCCAGUGGCAUUUUCAGCUUCUUCAGUACCA
RNAcentral lists this long non-coding RNA (305 nucleotides) under Solanum tuberosum (potato). RNAcentral describes it as "long non-coding RNA (STUB_LNC004317)". Lineage: Eukaryota; Viridiplantae; Streptophyta; Magnoliopsida; Solanales; Solanaceae. The record is from RNAcentral.